Molecule: ribosomal RNA, 207 nt
Filed under: uncultured bacterium
Lineage: Bacteria
Description: partial 16S ribosomal RNA
Rfam family: Bacterial small subunit ribosomal RNA
Source: RNAcentral
CGCGUAGGUGGUUCAGUCAGUCAGAUGUGAAAGCCCCGGGCUCAACCUGGGAAUUGCACCUGAUACUGCUGAGCUAGAGUACGGUAGAGGGUAGUGGAAUUUCCGGUGUAGCGGUGAAAUGCGUAGAGAUCGGAAAGAACACCAGUGGCGAAGGCGACUACCUGGACCGAUACUGACACUGAGGUGCGAAAGCGUGGGUAGCAAACA